AUGUACAUAGUAUAUGUUGAUAUAUACAGGAUUCUGUACUCAGUUGUAGAGACGGGCAUCUCGACGCUCUCAUCUCCCCAUCUUUACAAAACAGUCUGGUACCAGUGUCCCAUCAAGAUACUCGAGUCAUGGCUCGUCUUGUUGUGGUGUUAUUCAUCUGCUUUGCUCUGUCCUCGCUGUCUUGGUCCAUGCCCGCUAAUGACUUGUCCAACGAGUCACCAGAAAAGCAGCACCUGGAUCACACACACACGGACACCUGCUGUAUAGUAUGUCGUCGUUAUUGCACAUGCUGCUACGCGCGCCGCUAGCUAGUGACGAUUGAGAGUGCUAGACUGUGGCAUCUGGAACUCUAGAGGACUCGCAUCCGCUGAGCGUAAUACUUCCUAGCAAGAUGUAAUAGCAAUUAGCAGUUUCGUUGGCCUCUGUUUGUGAAUGUUCUUGGUACAUGUAUGAAUCAUCGAA
Long non-coding RNA from Corticium candelabrum, 462 nucleotides. RefSeq lists it as uncharacterized. The record is from RefSeq and is a predicted model, not a curated record. The transcript has 2 exons. Lineage: Eukaryota; Metazoa; Porifera; Homoscleromorpha; Homosclerophorida; Plakinidae.